Molecule: long non-coding RNA, 518 nt
Organism: Peromyscus californicus insignis
Lineage: Eukaryota; Metazoa; Chordata; Mammalia; Rodentia; Cricetidae
Exons: 3
Source: RefSeq, a predicted model, not a curated record
UCCUCAGCUGUGAAGGAUCAGACUACCAGUCCCUAAGGCCAGGCUGUGACUGCUGGAACUACCCAGGCCUUACCCUCAAUUUUUUCUCCUUUGCAGUUAUAAAAUCCAGGUGACCCUCGUAUUGGGGGAGGGGGUGUCACAGGAAUCCUGCAGGAGACAAGGCAUGUCUUCAAGACCAUCACCAAAGAAGACAACCUGAAAGGAUAAAGAUAACUUCGCCCAUACCCAGUAGGAAGCAAUUUUAAGACUACGACGCCCACAUUCCCAAAGAGGUGGUGUGGGGAAAAACUUUCACCUUAUGGGCCUGGUGAAGACUGAUGCUGUUCUGAUACUUCUGCUUCCAAUGCUAUGGAGACCUGGGUAUAGCUAAAUGGGAAUGGACUGGUCUCUGUGGCUACCUGGGAAUGAACUGGUCCCUGUCAUUUUCUAAUAGAUUAGGAAGCCGCUUGGUCUGCACUCAGGUAUAAUUUAUCCUUCUUAGUUCUUGGAUAGUAUUGACAGCUAGCUUAGCUAUGACU